RNAcentral lists this ribosomal RNA (497 nucleotides) under uncultured bacterium. Its description in RNAcentral is "partial 16S ribosomal RNA". It matches the Rfam family "Bacterial small subunit ribosomal RNA", at positions 28 to 507 of the family's 1533-position model. The record is from RNAcentral.
GAUGAACGCUGGCGGCGUGCCUAAUACAUGCAAGUCGAGCGAACGGACGAGAAGCUUGCUUCUCUGAUGUUAGCGGCGGACGGGUGAGUAACACGUGGAUAACCUACCUAUAAGACUGGGAUAACUUCGGGAAACCGGAGCUAAUACCGGAUAAUAUUUUGAACCGCAUGGUUCAAAAGUAAAAGACGGUCUUGCUGUCACUUAUAGAUGGAUCCGCGCUGCAUUAGCUAGUUGUUAAGGUAACGGCUUACCAAGGCAACGAUGCAUAGCCGACCUGAGAGGGUGAUCGGCCACACUGGAACUGAGACACGGUCCAGACUCCUACGGGAGGCAGCAGUAGGGAAUCUUCCGCAAUGGGCGAAAGCCUGACGGAGCAACGCCGCGUGAGUGAUGAAGGUCUUCGGAUCGUAAAACUCUGUUAUUAGGGAAGAACAUAUGUGUAAGUAACUGUGCACAUCUUGACGGUACCUAAUCAGAAAGCCACGGCUAACUACGUG